Non-coding RNA from Picea glauca (white spruce), 112 nucleotides. NCBI's taxonomy places the organism in Eukaryota, Viridiplantae, Streptophyta, Pinopsida, Pinales, Pinaceae. The record is from Rfam.
GCCGGGCACUACGGCAAGACGUGAAACACCCGAUCCCAUUCCGAUCUCGAUCUGUGAAACCGUCUUGCGCCAUAUGCACUGCUAAAGCGGGAGACAUGGUCAAAGCCAGGUC